RNAcentral lists this small nucleolar RNA (69 nucleotides) under Euglena gracilis. RNAcentral describes it as "Eg-m180 box C/D methylation-guide". Lineage: Eukaryota; Euglenozoa; Euglenophyceae; Euglenales; Euglenaceae. The record is from RNAcentral.
GGCUAUGAUGUUUGCUUUCUGAACAAUCCAACACUGAACGGUGCCUGAGGAUCUUAUCUUGCACUGAAG